GUCCAGAUCAUACAAAAAAAUUUACAAAAGAUACAAGGGAGAAGAAUAAGAAUAACUUUAUUGAUCCCCGAAGGAAAAUCCAAUUAUCUGUCAUCUCAUUUGUCAUGUCUCAAAAGUCAUCUACUAUUUAUAAAAGAGUUGUAAAGUCUGAUGGCUGUGGGUCCAAAAGAUCUUCUGAAUCUUUCUGUCCUGCAGUGAAGAGAGAGGAGCCGUCCACCACCAUUGGCCCUUUGGUCCAUUAACGUGUUGUUAAGUGGUUGAUCCAUGUUCUUUAAAAUAGUCUCCACCUUCCUCAGUGUAGAUCUCUCCACCACAUCCUCCGGUGAGUCCAAAUUGAAUCCAACCACAGAGCCAACCUUUUUCACCAGUAUGUUCAGACGUUUUGCAUCUUUGUGUUUGAUACUUCCUCCCUAGCAGACUGCAGCACAGAACACAACACUUGCCACCACAGACUGAUAAAACAUCUGCAGCAUCUUACUACACAUGUCUAUUGAUCGGAGUCUUCUCAGGGAAAAGAGGCGGCUCUGCCACUUUCUGUGGGUGAAGUCUAUGUUCUUAGACCAGUCCACUCUACAUGCUUGUUUUCUUCUGCAGUUGUAGACACACUUGUUCUGUCUCUAACCAUGUUCAUAAUAGCAGAGAGACUCAGAAUUUGAAUACUGAGACAACCCCCCCUACACACACACCUCUGAAGAGCCAUGUGACAUUCUUGGACUAGUCUAGUGUCACUAUAUUCUAUUAUACACAGAACAAAAUGUCUCUCUCUAUUAUGAAACAACAUUUGUAGGUUUGAAAAAUGUUAUAACUCCUCCACCACAAAGAGUACUUCCCUUCAAACAGAGCAGCCAGUGGACUCCUUCAACCUUUGAGAUUGAAUGUGUGUAUUCAGCUCUUGUUUAGUUUUAUACAGUUUAUCACAUCCAGGGCAGCUAUAGGGUCUCUCCUCUGUGUGAACUCUCAUGUGGCUUGACACUUCUUGUUUAGUUUUGAAUGUUUUGCCACAUUCUGAGCAGCUGAAGGGUCUCUCAUCUGAGUGAACUCUAAUGUGGCUUGCCACUUCUUUUUUAGUUUUGAAUGUUUUGCCACAUUCUGAGCAGCUGAAGGGUCUCUCAUCUGAGUGAACUCUCAUGUGGCUUGCCACUUCUCUUUUAGUUUUGAAUGUUUUGCCACAUUCUGAGCAGCUUAAGGGUCUCUCAUCAGAGUGAACUCUCAUGUGAUUGGUCCUCAGCUCUUUUGUUUUAAACAAUUUACCACAUUCUGAGCCGCUGAAGUGUCUCUCAUCUGUAUGAACUGCCAUGUGUUGUACUAGAUUAUUUUUAGAUUUGAAUUUUUUGUGACAUUCUGAGCAGCUGAACGGUCUCUCCUCUGAGUGAACUCUCAUGUGUUGUCCCAGGUCUUUUUUAGUUUUGAAUGUUUUGCCACAGUCUGGGCAGCUGAAGGGUCUCUCCCAUGUGUGAACUCUCAUGUGGCUUGCCAGUUUCUUUUUAGUUUCGACUGUUUUGCCAUAUUUAGUGCAGCUGAAGGGUCUCUCAUCUGAAUGAACUGCCAUGUGUUGUACUAGAUUAUGUUUGGAUUUGUAUUUGUUGUGACACUCUGGGCAGCUGAAGGGUCUCUCCUCUGAGUGAACUCUCAUGUGUUGUCCCAGGUCUUUUUUAGUUUUGAAUGUUUUGCCACAGUCUGGGCAGCUGAACGGUCUCUCCUCUGUGUGAACUUUCAUGUGUUGUCCCAGUUGUCCUUUAUUUUUGAAUGUUUUGCCACACUCUGGGCAGCUGAAGGGUCUCUCCUCUGAGUGAACUGGCUUGUGGUGCGCCAGUUCUCCUUUAGUUUUGAACGGUUUGCCACAGUCUGGGCAGCUGAAGGGUUUCUCAUCUGAGUGAAGUAUCAUGUGGCUUGCCAGGUUAUUUUUAGCUUUGAAUGUUUUGCCACAUUCUGAGCAGCUGAAGGGUCUCUCAUCUGAGUGAACUCUCAUGUGGCUUGCCAGGUCGUAUUUAGUUUUGAAUGUUUUGCCACAAUCUGAGCAGCUGAAGGGUCUCUCAUCUGAAUGAACUGCCAUGUGUUGUCCUAGUUUAUUUUUAGUUUUGAAUGUUUUGCCACAGUUUGGGCAGCUGAAUGGUCUCUCCUCUGAGUGAACUGGCUUGUGGUGCAUCAGUUCUCCUUUAGUUUUGAACGGUUUGCCACAGUCUGAGCAGCUGAAGGGUCUCUCAUCUGAAUGAACUGCCAUGUGUUGUCCUAGUAUAUAUUUAGUUUUGAAUGUUUUGCCACACUCUGGGCAGCCGAAGGGUCUCUCAUCUGAAUGAACUGACAUGUGUUGUCCUAGUGUUUUUUUAGUUUUGAAUGUUUUGCCACACUCUGGGCAGCUGAAGGGUUUCUCAUCU
RNAcentral lists this long non-coding RNA (2375 nucleotides) under Xyrichtys novacula (pearly razorfish). Lineage: Eukaryota; Metazoa; Chordata; Actinopteri; Labriformes; Labridae. The record is from RNAcentral.